UUUUUUAUCGACUAACUGCCCCCACUUCUAUCUUCAUCCACAACUGCUCAAAUCUCUCUAAAUGUUUCUUCCAAAAAUUUUGUUCUCAGUACAGAAUAAAUGACCAAAACGGUUUAGGGAUUUCAAACUCAUGGAAGAUCGUCUCGAUAUAUCCCAAGUCUCCCCAAGCUUUGUUAUGUAAUAGGUCAACAAUAUAUCCCGACCACCGAUCGUUUUGUAUGCUUCCAAAUCCAUUUCUCAGUUCCUUCAUGAAGGUUUUGAUAAUUAAGUAAGGGGUUAGCUGAAACUACAAAACUUGGGAUGUGAUUCACAUUACUACCUCUGAAAGAUGACAGAACUACAUAUGCAUCCUUUUUCGCAUAAGCAGGGGUAAGUUGCCAUUAAUAUAUGAUUUGCCUAACAUUUAUUUGAAUGCAAAAUCUCAGCUGGCUUAAGGUGCCCAACAUUCAUUAUUUAAAGACGGGAAAGAUUCAUGAAUGUUUCUAGCUACUGUACGGUACAGUCAUAAGAAGCAUGCUCUACAUCUUUUGGGUUUCCGCCACGGGAGGUGAGGCAUUUAUCCAUCAAAAGGAACGUUGUUCGUUGUCGUUGUAGGAAUUUCUUUGGCAAUGCUCUCAUUCCUUACAAAGGAUUUACUGAUGCACAUGCCCUUUGGAUGCCACCUACAUACCUAUGGUGGAGUUUCAUCAAAGACAGUGCCAAGUUGACUUCAAACUUCAUAAAUAAGUGCACGGAGAAAUUAAAAAUGACGGAAGUGCAGUGCUGUGCGACAACAGGAGUAAGAUAUCUAGCAUUGGUUUUACUUUUAUUGAUAAGACAGUCUGCGCAAGAUUCAAUUGCAAUGCAAGGACCACUCUGGAUGGAUUGAUAACGCGGCUGAUAGCACUUCUAUCUUUGACAAGACAGCAAGGGACUUGAAGAUUUACAGUGGACAUCGAAGACAAACAGUGUAGGAAGAAACUAAAAAAUGCUGGAAGUAGACUCUGACAACAAAAUUUUUGAUAUCUAAAACCAUAUUUUUUUACUUCCGUUGUUUAAAUAACUUACAGUGGCUAAUCAUUAUCCUUCUUUUGAGGAUGUCAAUGGUGAACGCUUAUAUGCCUGAAAACUCUGUUUGUAAACUUUAAUGCUAGAUGGAUCUCACUCUCCACUAGCUAAUAGUUAUCAAGGCUUUCCAGUUCCAAAAAUAAAAUUGGACAUUUCCCUUCCUA
Long non-coding RNA from Papaver somniferum (opium poppy), 1211 nucleotides. RefSeq lists it as uncharacterized. The record is from RefSeq and is a predicted model, not a curated record. The transcript is spliced from 5 exons. Lineage: Eukaryota; Viridiplantae; Streptophyta; Magnoliopsida; Ranunculales; Papaveraceae.